AUGACUUCUUACUGCUUGGCCAGAGCAUACGGGGUGGCCGCUCUGCUUAGGGAUGGGGGCUGGAGGCCCCCUUCUCGCCCUUUAUACUUGUCAUGGAGGAGAGUGAGGAACGCUGAGUGGAUGGCUGUUCAGUACGGUGAGUCCUCCUGGGUACCUGGAGGGGGUGAGAGGCCUGCAACAGACCCAAGAGCAAGGCGAGGCACGGCCUCCUCCUGCCACACUCAUUCCAGAGGAAUCUUGCUCCCAGGUCAAGGAAGAAACUUGACUGAGCAAGGAGGCUUCAGAGGAAACCUCCUGUGGGUGCAGCACAGCUUGCCCUUCUCCAAAACCGUGGGGUCUGCAGUGGCAGGAAACGCACCACCCAACCUCAACAUGUCACCUCGGGGAGGAGGAGCCAGGUGGGUCGGCGCCCCUCCAGGAAGGGCUGCCGGGGCUUCGGGGCCUCCCCGAGGGGAGAGCGGAGCACUAGGACCAGGCCCGCGGGGUUCGGUACCCGGGGCUCUGGGGUGCGGAGCCGCGCCGGGGCAAUUUCGGGUUCCUGAGGGUGGGGGCGUCGGUGCCCGGCGGCGGGCGGGCCGUCAGCUGCCCGGCCCGUCGCCUCCCUCCCCGCCCCCCGGCUUCCUGCGGAGGCCGCGGCCGCCAUGUUGUUGUGGGGCUGAGGCGGCGCCGCGGAGCCCGAGCGGCCGUGACAGGCUGCGCAACAGGUUCGCUGUCCGCGGCCUGAAGACGAAGCAGGCGCGGCGGCGGCGGCGGCGGCUGCCGAGCAGGGUCUCCCGGCGUCCGUCCGCGCCCGCGCUGCUGGUGCCGAGGGGCGCGGGGUCGCGCUGUGACGUGCGGGAGGCGCGGCGGGCGCGCCAGGUGGGUGAAGGCGCUCGCAGGGGCUGCCGCAGGGCGCCGGGCAGGUGCGGGCGCCGCCGCGUCCGCUGCGGGGAGGCUCGCGGGCCGGCCCGGGGGCCGGGCUGGGAGGCGGCUACGCGCCCCGCACGACGCGGACUGCCCUCGGGAGCCUGGGCGGCCCCCAAGCUAGGCCCCUGGCGGGCUUGGCGGCGCCUGGCGGAAACCUCCGGCCGUGGGUUCCUGUCCCCGCGCGGGCCAGGGCGGACAGUGAGGGGCCGGGACCGCGCUGCCCCUUAUCGCGGCCGAGCCCCGGCCCCUGGCCGCGGCCUCUCCUGGCAGGUGCGGACGCCGCCGAGGUUCGGGAGCGGCGUGGCCCCUGGCUUUCCGCGAGCUUCCUUGGGGCCCCAUUUUAUUUUCACGGAGUUGGUUUUCCUUCUUGGUAACGGUUGGUGCGGAGGGUCAGAUGGCUGA
RNAcentral lists this long non-coding RNA (1308 nucleotides) under Sus scrofa (pig). RNAcentral's name for it is "lncRNA (ENSSSCG00070012810.1)". The record is from RNAcentral. Lineage: Eukaryota; Metazoa; Chordata; Mammalia; Artiodactyla; Suidae.